This 510-nucleotide ribosomal RNA is filed under the name uncultured Pseudomonadota bacterium. RNAcentral describes it as "bacterial SSU rRNA". It matches the Rfam family "Bacterial small subunit ribosomal RNA", at positions 355 to 859 of the family's 1533-position model. Lineage: Bacteria; Pseudomonadati; Pseudomonadota. The record is from RNAcentral.
UGGGGAAUUUUGGACAAUGGGCGCAAGCCUGAUCCAGCCAUGCCGCGUGAGUGAAGAAGGCCUUCGGGUUGUAAAGCUCUUUCGGCGGGGACGAAACGGUCCGUGCCAACACCACGGACUAAUGACGGUACUCGCAGAAGAAGCACCGGCUAACUACGUGCCAGCAGCCGCGGUAAUACGUAGGGUGCGGGCGUUAAUCGGAAUUACUGGGCGUAAAGCGUGCGCAGGCGGCUCCUUAAGUCAGAUGUGAAAUCCCCGGGCUUAACCUGGGAACUGCGUUUGAAACUGAGGGGCUUGAGUGUGGAAGAGGGGGGUGGAAUUCCAGGUGUAGCAGUGAAAUGCGUAGAGAUCUGGAGGAACACCGAUGGCGAAGGCAGCCCCCUGGGCUAACACUGACGCUCAUGCACGAAAGCGUGGGGAGCAAACAGGAUUAGAUACCCUGGUAGUCCACGCCCUAAACGAUGUCAACUGGUUGUCGGGGAAGCAAUUCCUGGUAACGAAGCUAACGCG